AUUUGAACAAAAAACUGAAUAUUGCACCAGAAUUCCAAUAUCACUAAACUUUUCCAAUUUCAUCGACCAUAAAUACCUUCUCUGAGUUUUUCAUGUUGCAACCAUCUAUCACACAUUUAUAUGCAUCCCAGUCUUCUUCUGCGAGCUUGCUUAAACUCUUCUCUUUUCUGCAACCAUCUAUCACCUUCUCUGAGUUUCUCUCGAGUUCUUCUCUUUUUUGGGAGCACUGGUCUCCUUCCAUCUGCCGCAUGUUGAUUCCCCUGCCCCGUCCGAGCAGGGAACGUCCUCGUUUCUUCCACCCGGAGAAUAUGGGGUUAUUUGUGAGGGUUUCUUUGAUAUGCUUUUCUGCUUUCCUUGCUUUAUUGUGGUUAAAUCCUUGCAAGUAGAUUUAAAGGCUCACAGAUUUUAUUCUUAUAUAUAUUGUCCUCUACGCUGAAGGGAGGUAAGGCAGUGACUCGCAGAGCAAUGCUCAGAAGGCGCGAUUGGAUCAGUGAAGAGGACAUCCUCACCACCUUCGCUGGCGUUGCUUCAUCUAUAAAGAUGUUGUUGACCAGAAUCGUUGGAAGUGGUCCAAGAAUGGCUCUUCAGCAGUUCUGAACCCAAGCAAGAGGAAGUGGAGUAGCUCAUAGUGCCAAGUCGAAGAGCGCAUCUGCACCGAUUCUUGCUGGCAUGCUUGUUCUAAGGCGACCUCCUUUGACUCGGGCAUUGGACCUAUUGAUAUGAGAUGUGGGUUUUCCUUCUUGAUUGUGCCAAGGUUCCAUCGCCUUUCAGCCAGAUCUUUGCUUGCAUGCAACUAUUCUUCUACUUGUGUUGCUUCCUUCGCUCUGGAAGAUGUGGAUUUGGUUUGGGUUUUUCUCCUUCGAUCUUAAGUGACUGUUUAAUGGCCAGAUUUGCUAAUAUUUUGGGAGUUUUUUCUUGUUCAGCCUUAGCAGUUACUCUGUCCGGUGGCCGAAUUUUCAAAACAUGGAGCCGCUCUGCUUUAAUUGUUUUGUCGGAUCUGGUUUCAGAUCAUAUGGUAUUUCCCGUCUCUAGA
Long non-coding RNA from Manihot esculenta (cassava), 1033 nucleotides. RefSeq lists it as uncharacterized. The record is from RefSeq and is a predicted model, not a curated record. Lineage: Eukaryota; Viridiplantae; Streptophyta; Magnoliopsida; Malpighiales; Euphorbiaceae. The transcript has 2 exons.